UUACCUAGAUUUGAGCUUCUAUCCUACAACU
Molecule: non-coding RNA, 31 nt
Filed under: Rattus norvegicus (Norway rat)
Lineage: Eukaryota; Metazoa; Chordata; Mammalia; Rodentia; Muridae
Source: RNAcentral